UACGUAGGUGGCAAGCGUUAUCCGGAAUUAUUGGGCGUAAAGCGCGCGCAGGUGGUUUCUUAAGUCUGAUGUGAAAGCCCACGGCUCAACCGUGGAGGGUCAUUGGAAACUGGGAGACUUGAGUGCAGAAGAGGAAAGUGGAAUUCCAUGUGUAGCGGUGAAAUGCGUAGAGAUAUGGAGGAACACCAGUGGCGAAGGCGGCAUCCUGGACUGGUACUGACGCUCAGGAGCGAAAGCGUGGGGAGCGAUCCGG
This 253-nucleotide ribosomal RNA is filed under the name uncultured bacterium. RNAcentral's name for it is "partial 16S ribosomal RNA". It matches the Rfam family "Bacterial small subunit ribosomal RNA", at positions 524 to 776 of the family's 1533-position model. The record is from RNAcentral.